This 4181-nucleotide long non-coding RNA is filed under the name Gadus morhua (Atlantic cod). RNAcentral's name for it is "lncRNA (ENSGMOG00000024291.1)". The record is from RNAcentral. Lineage: Eukaryota; Metazoa; Chordata; Actinopteri; Gadiformes; Gadidae.
AGGUGACGGAGGCGGUCGUCCUGGUGGUGCUCGUCUGGAGGUCCGUGGCGGUCCUCUGGAGGUGCUCGUCUGGAGGUCCGUGGCGGUCGUCUGGAGGUGCUCGCCGUGAGGUCCGUGGCGGUCGUCUGGAGGCGCUCGCCGUGAGGUCCGUGGCGGUCGUCUGGAGGUGCUCGCCGUGAGGUCCGUGGCGGUCGUCUGGAGGCGCUCGCUGCAGAUGGAGGGAAGGCCGGGAGCUGUGCAGCCCAACGGAUGCAGAACGAAGGACUGAGGCGGAGGCCAGCCUGGAGGCGGAGGCCAGCCUGGAGGCGGCGGUGGCCUGGAGGUCCUGGAGGCGUCCAACCUGGAAGGGGCGGCAUGGAGGGCCAGGUGGCGUCUCCUCGUCCAGUGAAAAGGGCCUGGAGGCGGCCAACCUGGAAGGCCUGGAGACGGCAGAGGUCCUGGAGGCAACGGCGGGCCUGGAGGCGGAGGCCAACCUGGAGGUCCUGGAGGCGGUGGCAGCGGCCAUCCUGGAGGAGGACAACCUGGAGGUCCUGGAGAGCCUCGAGGCGCCGGCGGCAGCCAUCCUGGAGGCGACGGCGGAGACCAACCUGGAGGGCCUGGAAAGGUGGUACGGACCAACCUGGAGGUCCUGGCGGUGGCGUCCACCUGGCGGCGGCGGCGGCGUCCUGGAGGGCCCGGCGGUGGCGGCGUCCUGGAGGGCCCCGGCGGCGGCGGUGGCGGCGUCCUGGAGGGCCCCGGCGGCGGCGGUGGCGGCGUCCUGGAGGGCCCCGGCGGCGGCGGCGUCCUGGAGGGCCCCGGUGGCGUCCUGGAGGGCCCCGGCGGCGUCCUGGAGGGCCCGGCGGCGGCGGCGUCCUGGAGGGCCCGGCGGCGGCGGCUCCUCAUCCAGUAAGGCUAAACUCUUCUACAGUGCAUCGUGAACGGGGAGGAAUGUCCGGGGUGCAAAUAGACCGUGUGUCACAUUUCAGAAGAAAUGAGGCGACGUUUCGGAGGUCCAGGCGGUCGGCCCGGUGGAGGUCCUGGAGGAGACGGUCCCGGCGGUGGAGGUCCAGGUGGGUGGCCCGGUGGAGGUCCUGGAGGAGACGGUCUCGGCGGUGGAGGACGGCUGGGGGAUCCGGCGGUGGAGGUCCGAAGGCGGCUCGUGAUUAGACCAACCAGCUCCUCAUCCAUGGAAGGAUUGAAGGAGUCACUGGGGAUGAAGAUCACUGGGGAUGAAGAUCACUGCUCAGGGGCUGACGACCACCCCCCCCCCCCCCCCCCCCCCUCAUCUUUCCGGAGAAGGUAUAUAAAUCUACAGCUGAUGUGAUUAAAGUUCUGCAGUUCAGAUCUGCUGAUAAAGGGUCCCAUACCGUAUCCACAGCGUCCUCAAGGUGCAGGCGGUCAAACCACCACAUCUUUGAAGAGACCAAGCAGCUUGAUGACUGACUGGUUCCUUAUACUCCGGAGCAGAGGACGGACCAAAGGCCCGCAGCGCAGCAGACUAGAGACUCUGUGGAACCGGUAAGAUGCUGGAUUGACUAUCUUGAAGACAUUUUCAUUUAUUCAACGGUUAGUUUUGUUUGGCGGGUAUGUUGCUUUGAUACUAGGGGCUUCCUCUGUAACAAACUUUCUAGAGAAUAAGAUCUUAUUUCAGCCAAUCAGUGGGAUGUCCAUGAACAAGAGCCAAUGGCUGAAGGUGCUCAAACGCAUUCUUUUGACUCGCUCCUCUACUAUUGCUGUAAUCAAGCUGGAUGGCUAUUUUGCUCCUUCUACUGACAAAAUCAAGUCUGCCACCUGGUGGCCGAUGAGGGCGUAGCUACUCUGGGCACAUUGGAAACAUGAUAAGAGCCUGUUUUUGAUGGUUGGAUCGUACACCUAAAUGUUUUUACAUCAAAAUAUCGCCGAACCCCAUGUUGGACAAUGCUUGUUUCAUCCUUUCUAUGUUUAGCUUUGAUUUAUCCUUACCUUUUCAUGUGACCAUUCCCCUUAGGUUCAAUAAAGUUGACCUCUCCUUCAGGCGACUUGAAGGGAGACCAGAUGUGCGGCAGCUGGGUGUCGCGGUGCAGAGACCCAACGCUGGUAAAUAUUUACUUCCUCCUUGAACAGACCUAACGCGUCCAACGGCAAUUCUAUAAUCCCUCCUGAUCUUUAUCAAGGUCUGAAGACCAGUCUUUUCUGUGAACAUCUCCACUGACUAGUGUGCUCUUAAUUAAUUUGAAGUUAAUUAAAUGCAGUAACUCCAAUGCACCUGGAGGCUCGUAUUGUCUUUUUUUGAAACCUGGUUCACUAGGACUGUUGCGGUAAAUAAAUGCUUGUUUUUUCGCUAAUUUAAGUCUAUGGAAUCAAAUGCUGAUUGAGACCAGAUGGGGCUGUUCCUGUAUUUAUAGACAUUUGAUUGCCCUAGAAACUGAUUCUACUUUUUGCAUCAAUUUACUUCACAGCACUGAACUACACCAGUGUGUCCUACGCCCCCAUAAACCCUGAGGAUCCCUGGCUACACCAGCACAUUAAUCCACACCCAACAUUAACACGCAGUGCACACUCUAUAGAGUUUGUAAGUCCGCCCCUUGCGGCGGGACCUCGUGAGAUCGUAAGAUAUGACUGGGUUUCAAUGGAGAGAAAGUCAUUAUUUUCUCCAUUAUGUUGCACCACAUUUUGGGGGAAGAAUGUUUGAAUCAAUCUUUGUCAUUUAUUUCCGUACUCCAUAUCUGUAAUCCCAGCUGUUGUAUUUUAACACGGUAGCUGGGAAUCCUCUUUAUAGGGAGCGACUAGAGGGACGAGGCUGGAAGCAAACCUGAGCCUGGCUCUUAACCUUCUUUCUAAACCUAAUGCCGCAAUUUAACCGCAAAUAAAGUGAGGCCUAAAGUAACUUGACUCUCUUACCUAAACUUGCUUGCCUAAACUCGCUUGUCUAAACUCGCUUGCAUAAAAUCUGAACUUGCUUGGCUAAACUCGCGUCACUUGCCUAAUACCUGAACUCGCUUGCCUAAACUCGCUUGCCUAAACUCGCUUGCCUAAACUCGCUUGCCUAAACUCGCUUGCCUAAUACCUGAACUCUCUUGCCUGAACUCUCUUGCCUGAACUCUCUUGCCUGAACUCUCUUGCCUGAACUCUCUUGCCUGAACUCUCUUGCCUGAACUCUCUUGCCUGAACUCUCUUGCCUGAACUCUCUUGCCUGAACUCUCUUGCCUGAACUCGCUUGCCUGAACUCGCUUGCCUGAACUCGCUUGCCUAAACUCGCUUGCCUAAACUCGCUUGCCUAAACUCGCUUGCCUAAACUCGCUUGCCUAAAACCUAACUUGCUCAGCUUGACUCGCUUGCAUAAUAACUGAACUCGCUUGCAUAAAACUUGCUUAGCUUGACUCGCUUGCCUGUACUUGCUUGGCUAAACUCGCUUGCCUAAUACCUGAAGUCGCUUGCCUGAAGUCGCAUGCCUAAUACCUGAAGUCGCUUGCCUAAAACCUAAACUUGCUUGUCCAAACAUGUUACACAAAGUUAACCAUCCAUAAUCUUUAACCCAAACCAGACUUGUCCCUGGGUCGCUCCACUAUAAUUUAGAAGUUUCUUCUUUUACCUCAUCUGCGUUUUGAGUUUCAUUCUUUGAGGGCUUGAAGUGCUUUGGAGGAUAUUUGAACCUUUGUUUGCCGCAUUUGUUCGCCAAAUGUUCAGUGUCCUUUGACGUAAUGUCUAUGGUCUGACGAUAAUCUGACCUCUUCAUGAAGCAGAAUGUGUGUGAAUGUUGUCCCGUGAGCUCCAGGCUCUCAGGAAUACUCCCUGAGUAUUUCAGACCUGUGGUGUUUCACAUGAGACCUUAAUGGGAACUUUUCUUUUUCUGCCUGCAUACGUAAUGCCUACAUUAGUAGGGUGAUCACUGUUGAUCCCAAUAUUGAUCAUUAACCACCUCAUUCUUUUAUGAUUUCUUUCGAUAAGGAUUACAAAUCAUGUAAUUUAUGAGCAUAUUUGCAAAUGGCUCCAAAUAUCAGAUUCUGUAAAAACUAAUGAAAUGUAACCUGCUAGAAAAUAAAACAUCCAAAUAUUAUAAACCUGUUUUGUGUUGCUCUCUUACCAUGUGGAAAUGAAACGCAGAUAGAUAUGUUUAGCUCUGAUUUGCUGCCUCCUUUUGGUGUGGUGCUGGGAUUUGUUUAAUAUAUUAUCAUUUCCAGGAUAAGUUAAUAACCUAGCAUAGCCUACCCGGAAAAGAAGGG